GGAAAGUGAGUGCUCUGGACUCCAGUACUAAAUAUCACUUUUUGAAACUUUUCUAACAGGGCUGCCGCAACAGAUUCUGAACAACAAUUUUGAACUUAGAGCUUCGAAGAUGGUAGAGGCCCAGACUAUUCUAAAGCAAUCUGUGUAGUAGAAUGAGCAAUAGGAAGAUCCAUGUCUUGUGGGCAAAGGACCCAAAGAAAAUGAAAGGACACACCACGCAGAGCUGCUGGAACAAAGGGAAUGUGGAAAUGAAAGAGAGAGGGAGAGAGAGGCUGGCAGAUGUAAUGAGACGCGGUGAAGGUGUACGCAGACGGGCACUCCCACGCCUCCUCCCUUCGGCUCUCACUGCAGCCCUGGGUAACUCGCAGGCUAACACAAACAGCUUUUCUCCCGCAGCCUGCCCUCUGUCACUGUAAGUACAUCACCCUUCUCUUAUCAGCAUGCAGAUUCCAGCCACGCACUCCCUCGCCUUGGCUUUGCACCUUUGACAGCAAAAGCACAUUGGGAAAUGAACUUUCCUAAGCUAGGAAAGGCAUGUUUAUAAAACUUACUUUUUAUUUAUCUUUAUUGUUUUUUGAAAACAGAAGUUCAUGUAUUUUUACCACUUUCCUUACCUUCUUUGUGACGGUGCUCUGUUGCUCCUGUCACUGUGGCUGUGCUUUUCUCAACUGGAUGUUGCUCAGAUUCAAAUGAAAUUUAAUGUUAUUCUCCAUCCGCUUAAAGUCCAGGCGCAUGCCUUGUCCUUCUGCGAAAUGACAUCUUAAAGGACGAAGAAUAUUAUUCACGGUUUGCUUUUGUUGCUGAAACAGGAGUUCUAACCUCUUUGAGGCACUGACUGUCCCAAGGGCACUGUUAUUUGGG
Molecule: long non-coding RNA, 861 nt
Filed under: Rattus norvegicus (Norway rat)
Lineage: Eukaryota; Metazoa; Chordata; Mammalia; Rodentia; Muridae
Description: long non-coding RNA NONRATT031424
Source: RNAcentral